GAUGAACGCUAGCUACAGGCUUAACACAUGCAAGUCGAGGGGAAACGACAUCGCAAGCUUGCUUUUGAUGGGCGUCGACCGGCGCACGGGUGAGUAACGCGUAUCCAACCUGUCCAUCACUUGUGGAUAACCUUGCGAAAGUAAGACUAAUACCCAAUGAUAUCUCUAGAAGACAUCUGAAAGAUACUAAAGUUUUAUCUGUGAUGGCUGGGGAUGCGUCUGUUUAGCUUGUUGUCGGGGUAACGGCCCUCCAAGGCAACGAUCAGUAGGGGUUCUGAGAGGAAGGUCCCUCACAUGGGAACUGGGACACGGGCCAAAGUCCUACGGGAGGCAGCAGUAAGGGAUGUUGGAGAAGGGGAGAGAGCAUGAACCAGCCAAGUAGCAUGCAGGAAGGCGGCGCUAUGGGUUGUAAACUGCUUUUAUAAGGGAAUAAUGUGAGAGGCGGGACUCUUUGUGUAUGUAACGUAUGAAUAAGGACCGGCUAAUUACGUG
RNAcentral lists this ribosomal RNA (492 nucleotides) under uncultured bacterium. RNAcentral's name for it is "partial 16S ribosomal RNA". It matches the Rfam family "Bacterial small subunit ribosomal RNA", at positions 28 to 507 of the family's 1533-position model. The record is from RNAcentral.